GCCACUGCACCCAGCAAGGUGUGAUUUCUUUGUAGUCUUUGCUUUCCAUAUAGUUUCACAUAGAUGUCUUAGGUUUUUGGAGCUGCUAUAACAAAUUACUAGCAAUUGAGUGACUUUUUCAAAAAAGAACAGGAAUCUAUCUACUCUGAUUUCUGGAGGUUAAAAGUCCAAACUCAAGGCGUCAGCAAGCUCCCCCUAGAGGGCCCGGGGCCAAUCUGCCCUGUGCCUCCCUUUGAGCUUCUAUGGCUGCUGGUAGCUCUUGGUGUCUCAGGCUGGUGGAUCUCAGCCUCCGGUCACAUGACAUUCACCCCAGGCUCCUGUCUUCCUCUGUAAAGUCUUGGCAUUGGACUUAGGCCACCCCUAGCCCAGGAUGAUCUCAUCUCAAGAGCCUUCAUAACAUCUCCAAGACCUUUUUUCCAAACAAGAUCGCAUUUAGAGGGUCCAGGGAGAUGCAUCCUUUUUAGCGGGGAGGGAAUACAUCUUUCCUUCCCGCAUGUUUUGGGGGUAUGGGUCACUAUAUUCAACCCACAGUAGCAAUAAUGAUAAUAAAAUAUACGCAGUUUUGUUCCUUAAGUGUUGUGCCCGAUAAUGGCUUUCCAGAUGUGCUAUUUGUAAGACUGCGGUGACACAGGAUUGCUGGGUCUGCACUUGGAGGCAGCUUUUUGAGGAAUGCACUUAACUUGAUGAUUCUUCCCUCUCUUUCUUUGUUGUACCCGGAUUUAUCCCAGGGUUGUCUAACCACUAAACCACAUCCCUGGCCUCCUUUAUUUUCUGUUUUGAGACAGGUUCUUGCUGAGUUGCUUAGGGCCUCACUAAAUUGCUGAGGCUGGCCUCCAAUCUGUGAUCCUCCGGCCUCAGCCUCCCAAGUCACUAGGAUUAUAGAUGUGUGCCACCUUGCCCGGCUCUCUUACAUACUUAAUUGUUUCCUUAGACUUGCCCAUGGAUAUAAGCAAGACAGACAUUUGUAAUAGUGUGAUUGAACAGACCACAAGAAAGCAAUUAUAAAACCCCAUCACCUACAACCUCAAAAAACUCACUCCUGAGUCUUGAGACAUGUGCCCAUGAACAGCCACGUGAACGUGUCUCUUCUUG
This 1092-nucleotide long non-coding RNA is filed under the name Marmota monax (woodchuck). Lineage: Eukaryota; Metazoa; Chordata; Mammalia; Rodentia; Sciuridae. The record is from RNAcentral.